RNAcentral lists this ribosomal RNA (814 nucleotides) under uncultured bacterium. Its description in RNAcentral is "bacterial SSU rRNA". It matches the Rfam family "Bacterial small subunit ribosomal RNA", at positions 636 to 1449 of the family's 1533-position model. The record is from RNAcentral.
UCUGACUNGAGUGCAGAAGGGGAGAGUGGAAUUCCAUGUGUAGCGGUGAAAUGCGUAGAUAUAUGGAGGAACACCAGUGGCGAAAGCGGCUCUCUGGUCUGUCACUGACGCUGAGGCUCGAAAGCGUGGGUAGCGAACAGGAUUAGAUACCCUGGUAGUCCACGCCGUAAACGAUGAGUGCUAGGUGUUAGGCCCUUUCCGGGGCUUAGUGCCGGAGCUAACGCAAUAAGCACUCCGCCUGGGGAGUACGACCGCAAGGUUGAAACUCAAAGGAAUUGACGGGGGCCCGCACAAGCGGUGGAGCAUGUGGUUUAAUUCGAAGCAACGCGAAGAACCUUACCAGGUCUUGACAUCCCGAUGCUAUUCUUAGAGAUAGGAAGUUACUUCGGUACAUCGGAGACAGGUGGUGCAUGGUUGUCGUCAGCUCGUGUCGUGAGAUGUUGGGUUAAGUCCCGCAACGAGCGCAACCCUUAUUGUUAGUUGCCAUCAUUAAGUUGGGCACUCUAGCGAGACUGCCGGUAAUAAACCGGAGGAAGGUGGGGAUGACGUCAAAUCAUCAUGCCCCUUAUGACCUGGGCUACACACGUGCUACAAUGGUCGGUACAACGAGUUGCGAGCCGGUGACGGCAAGCUAAUCUCUGAAAGCCGAUCUCAGUUCGGAUUGGAGGCUGCAACUCGCCUCCAUGAAGUCGGAAUCGCUAGUAAUCGCGGAUCAGCACGCCGCGGUGAAUACGUUCCCGGGCCUUGUACACACCGCCCGUCACACCACGAGAGUUUGUAACACCCGAAGUCGGUGAGGUAACCUUUUAGGGGC